UGGGGAAUAUUGGACAAUGGGCGGAAGCCUGAUCCAGCCAUGCCGCGGGUGUGAAGAAGGCCUUUUGGUUGUAAAGCACUUUAAGCGAGGAGGAGGCUACUUGGAUUAAUACUCUAGGAUAGUGGACGUUACUCGCAGAAUAAGCACCGGCUAACUCUGUGCCAGCAGCCGCGGUAAUACAGAGGGUGCGAGCGUUAAUCGGAUUUACUGGGCGUAAAGCGUGCGUAGGCGGCUUCUUAAAUCGGAUGUGAAAUCCCUGAGCUUAACUUAGGAAUUGCAUUCGAUACUGGGAAGCUAGAGUAUGGGAGAGGAUGGUAGAAUUCCAGGUGUAGCGGUGAAAUUCGUAGAGAUCUGGAGGAAUACCGAUGGCGAAGGCAGCCAUCUGGCCUAAUACUGACGCUGAGGUACGAAAGCAUGGGGAGCAAACAGG
This 430-nucleotide ribosomal RNA is filed under the name bacterium. RNAcentral describes it as "partial 16S ribosomal RNA". It matches the Rfam family "Bacterial small subunit ribosomal RNA", at positions 355 to 776 of the family's 1533-position model. The record is from RNAcentral.